GCCGGAGUAGCUCAGCUGGCCAGAGCACCUCAUUCGUAAUGAGGGGGUCACGGGUUCGAAUCCCGUCUCCGGCU
This 74-nucleotide transfer RNA is filed under the name Solirubrobacterales bacterium. It matches the Rfam family "tRNA". From Rfam's summary of the family: Transfer RNA (tRNA) molecules are approximately 80 nucleotides in length. Their secondary structure includes four short double-helical elements and three loops (D, anti-codon, and T loops). Further hydrogen bonds mediate the characteristic L-shaped molecular structure. tRNAs have two regions of fundamental functional importance: the anti-codon, which is responsible for specific mRNA codon recognition, and the 3' end, to which the tRNAs corresponding amino acid is attached (by aminoacyl-tRNA synthetases). tRNAs cope with the degeneracy of the genetic code in two manners: having more than one tRNA (with a specific anti-codon) for a particular amino acid; and 'wobble' base-pairing, i.e. permitting non-standard base-pairing at the 3rd anti-codon position. RNAcentral also lists the same sequence under 1 other name. The record is from Rfam by way of RNAcentral. Lineage: Bacteria; Bacillati; Actinomycetota; Thermoleophilia; Solirubrobacterales.